UUCCGGUUGAUCCUGCCGGAGGACAUUGCUAUUGGGAUUCGAUUUAGCCAUGCUAGUUGUACGAACUUAGAUUCGUAGCGAAUAGCUCAGUAACACGUGGCCAAGCUACCCUUCAGACCACACUAACCUCGGGAAACUGAGGCUAAUAGUGGAUGCGGUAUGCACGCUGGAAUGCGGCAUACUCCAAACGCUCCGGCGCUGAAGGAUGCGGCUGCGGCCGAUUAGGUAGACGGUGGGGUAACGGCCCACCGUGCCAAUAAUUGGUACGGGUGAUGAGAGUCAGAGCCCGGAGACGGAAUCUGAGACAAGAUUCCGGGCCCUACGGGGCGCAGCAGGCGCGAAACCUUUACACUGCACGAUAGUGCGAUAAGGGGACUCCAAGUGCGAGGGCAUACAGUCCUCGCUUUUCUGGACCGUAAGGUGGUCCAGGAAUAAGUGCUGGGCAAGACCGGUGCCAGCCGCCGCGGUAAUACCGGCAGCACAAGUGAUGGCCAAUCUUAUUGGGCCUAAAGCGUCCGUAGCUGGCCGAGCAGGUCCGUCGGGAAAUCCACGUGCUCAACGCGUGGGCGUCCGGCGGAAACCACUCGGCUUGGGGCCGGAGGACUCGAGGGGUACGUCUGGGGUAGGAGUGAAAUCCCGUAAUCCUGGACGGACCGCCGAUGGCGAAAGCACCUCGAGAGGACGGACCCGACAGUGAGGGACGAAAGCCAGGGUCUCGAACCGGAUUAGAUACCCGGGUAGUCCUGGCCGUAAACGAUGUUCGCUAGGUGUGGCGUCGACUACGAGUCGGCGCUGUGCCGCAGGGAAGCCGCUAAGCGAACCGCCUGGGAAGUACGUCCGCAAGGAUGAAACUUUAAAGGAAUUGG
This 866-nucleotide ribosomal RNA is filed under the name uncultured archaeon. Its description in RNAcentral is "bacterial SSU rRNA". It matches the Rfam family "Archaeal small subunit ribosomal RNA", at positions 1 to 868 of the family's 1478-position model. The record is from RNAcentral.